GACGAACGCUGGCGGCGUGCCUAACACAUGCAAGUCGAACGGAAAGGCCCUGCUUUUUUGGGGUGCUCGAGUGGCGAACGGGUGAGUAACACGUGAGUAACCUGCCCUUGACUUUGGGAUAACAUCAGGAAACUGGGGUUAAUACCGGAUAGGAGCUCCUGUUGCAUGGUGGGGGUUGGAAAGUUUCGGCGGUCGGGGAUGGACGCGCGGCUUAUCAGCUAGUUGGUGGGGUAGUGGCUUACCAAGGCAUGGACGGGUAGCCGGCCUGAGUGGGUGACCGGCCACAUUGGGACUGAGAUACGGCGCAGACGCCUACGGGAGGCAGCAGUGGGGAGUAUUGCACAAUGGGCGGAAGCCUGAGGCGGCGGCGCCGCGUGCGGGAUGACGGCCUUCGGGUUAUGAACCGCUUUCGCCUGUGACGAAGCGUGCGUGACGGUAAUGGGUGAAGAAGCACCGGCUAACUACGUG
This 468-nucleotide ribosomal RNA is filed under the name uncultured bacterium. RNAcentral's name for it is "partial 16S ribosomal RNA". It matches the Rfam family "Bacterial small subunit ribosomal RNA", at positions 28 to 507 of the family's 1533-position model. The record is from RNAcentral.